RNAcentral lists this ribosomal RNA (1368 nucleotides) under Escherichia coli. RNAcentral describes it as "partial 23S ribosomal RNA". It matches the Rfam family "Bacterial large subunit ribosomal RNA", at positions 373 to 1746 of the family's 2925-position model. The record is from RNAcentral. Lineage: Bacteria; Pseudomonadati; Pseudomonadota; Gammaproteobacteria; Enterobacterales; Enterobacteriaceae.
CCGUACACAAAAAUGCACAUGCUGUGAGCUCGAUGAGUAGGGCGGGACACGUGGUAUCCUGUCUGAAUAUGGGGGGACCAUCCUCCAAGGCUAAAUACUCCUGACUGACCGAUAGUGAACCAGUACCGUGAGGGAAAGGCGAAAAGAACCCCGGCGAGGGGAGUGAAAAAGAACCUGAAACCGUGUACGUACAAGCAGUGGGAGCACGCUUAGGCGUGUGACUGCGUACCUUUUGUAUAAUGGGUCAGCGACUUAUAUUCUGUAGCAAGGUUAACCGAAUAGGGGAGCCGAAGGGAAACCGAGUCUUAACUGGGCGUUAAGUUGCAGGGUAUAGACCCGAAACCCGGUGAUCUAGCCAUGGGCAGGUUGAAGGUUGGGUAACACUAACUGGAGGACCGAACCGACUAAUGUUGAAAAAUUAGCGGAUGACUUGUGGCUGGGGGUGAAAGGCCAAUCAAACCGGGAGAUAGCUGGUUCUCCCCGAAAGCUAUUUAGGUAGCGCCUCGUGAAUUCAUCUCCGGGGGUAGAGCACUGUUUCGGCAAGGGGGUCAUCCCGACUUACCAACCCGAUGCAAACUGCGAAUACCGGAGAAUGUUAUCACGGGAGACACACGGCGGGUGCUAACGUCCGUCGUGAAGAGGGAAACAACCCAGACCGCCAGCUAAGGUCCCAAAGUCAUGGUUAAGUGGGAAACGAUGUGGGAAGGCCCAGACAGCCAGGAUGUUGGCUUAGAAGCAGCCAUCAUUUAAAGAAAGCGUAAUAGCUCACUGGUCGAGUCGGCCUGCGCGGAAGAUGUAACGGGGCUAAACCAUGCACCGAAGCUGCGGCAGCGACGCUGAUGCGUUGUUGGGUAGGGGAGCGUUCUGUAAGCCUGUGAAGGUGUGCUGUGAGGCAUGCUGGAGGUAUCAGAAGUGCGAAUGCUGACAUAAGUAACGAUAAAGCGGGUGAAAAGCCCGCUCGCCGGAAGACCAAGGGUUCCUGUCCAACGUUAAUCGGGGCAGGGUGAGUCGACCCCUAAGGCGAGGCCGAAAGGCGUAGUCGAUGGGAAACAGGUUAAUAUUCCUGUACUUGGUGUUACUGCGAAGGGGGGACGGAGAAGGCUAUGUUGGCCGGGCGACGGUUGUCCCGGUUUAAGCGUGUAGGCUGGUUUUCCAGGCAAAUCCGGAAAAUCAAGGCUGAGGCGUGAUGACGAGGCACUACGGUGCUGAAGCAACAAAUGCCCUGCUUCCAGGAAAAGCCUCUAAGCAUCAGGUAACAUCAAAUCGUACCCCAAACCGACACAGGUGGUCAGGUAGAGAAUACCAAGGCGCUUGAGAGAACUCGGGUGAAGGAACUAGGCAAAAUGGUGCCGUAACUUCGGGAGAAGG